Molecule: ribosomal RNA, 304 nt
Filed under: uncultured bacterium
Lineage: Bacteria
Description: partial 16S ribosomal RNA
Rfam family: Bacterial small subunit ribosomal RNA
Source: RNAcentral
CAGCAGCAGCCGCGGUAAUACAGAGGGUGCGAGCGUUAAUCGGAUUUACUGGGCGUAAAGCGUGCGUAGGCGGCUUCUUAAGUCGGAUGUGAAAUCCCUGAGCUUAACUUAGGAAUUGCAUUCGAUACUGGGAAGCUAGAGUAUGGGAGAGGAUGGUAGAAUUCCAGGUGUAGCGGUGAAAUGCGUAGAGAUCUGGAGGAAUACCGAUGGCAAAGGCAGCCAUCUGGCCUAAUACUGACGCUGAGGUACGAAAGCAUGGGGAGCAAACAGGAUUAGAUACCCCGGUAGUCCCUGUCUCUUAUAC